Molecule: long non-coding RNA, 2575 nt
Organism: Sinocyclocheilus anshuiensis
Lineage: Eukaryota; Metazoa; Chordata; Actinopteri; Cypriniformes; Cyprinidae
Source: Ensembl
CACGGUUUUUACUUUUGUCUUGAUCUGUCAGAAACAGAAGGCUCUAACGAGUUCAGCGAUAGCGAUGUGGAUGUGAAUAGAAGGCGUCCGCGACGGAGUCAGAACUCUCAGGUCAACUACUGUGAGACGUCAGAGUCUGACGGGUCACGAAAGGCGUCCGAUCAGAAGCACUCCUCUCUUCCUCACCGUCGACGGCUGUCCAGCUCCAACAGUGAAGAGUCCAUACUUUCUAAAGACUUUGAGCCAAAGGAAUCGCAUCAGAGAUCAGAAAAAGGACGCAAGUGCGAUUCAACAAGGGAAGAUUCCAAACACAGGCACAAACGAGAAAAACAGAGACAGCAGAGAAGCUCCAGUGAAGACGAGGAGGAAGAGGAAGAUGGAGGAGAAACGGAAGACGAACGGCCCCUCCGCAAGAGGUCGAACCGCAUAGAAACAGACGAAGAAGAGGAGGAAGAGGAGAACACACGAGGAAGCGUCCGGUGGAAGCACACGGCGGGGUCUCGAGGUCCCGUCAGGCACAACGGCUUGGUCCCGCUGAGGGCCGCAGAUCAGGAUGACGACGACGACGACGACGACGACGAGGACGAGGAAGAGUUCACUGGAGUCACGGACCUUGUUAACUUUGUUUUCGACAGUGAACAGUUGUCAUGAUCAGCUCAGUAGCUUAAAUACGUUUAUUUUCUCAUCGCCUUCUCACGGGAAUGUCCCUCAUCAGCCACCGUAGUCUCCUGGUUUUUGGGUGUAGUGGACCAAAAAUGAAGCUUCCAGACGAAUGCCGUAGUGUCCGUUCAGAUGUUUGAAUGCACUCUAGUUCAUCCAGCCGCAUGCAUCACCCGACCGGUUUAGAACAGGGGCUUCUUAAUACUACAGUCACCAUUCCUCUGAGUAAAGCACUUUGUCAUUUACGGCCAGUACGAUUUUGUUUGUAUAAAGCGGCUUCGGUAGUCCUCUAGAGACACUGGACGGCGUGCAUUUGAAGCUUACGUGUUACGUGCAUUUCAGACUGGUGUUGUAGAGGUUUACAUUCUCUGUAUUAAUGUUUUCUUCUUUGUUGUACAUGAAGGAAAUUUGGGAUUGACGUGUGAUGCCGAACCUUGCCUAAUAGUAAUAGUUCACCCAAAAAUGAAAAUUUGCUGAAAAUGUAGAUGAGGUUGAUUCUUUAUGGGAACAGAUUUGGAUUUGAACAGACUUGCUCAGCAAUGGAUCCUCUGCAGUGAAUGGGUGCCGUCAGAAUGAGAGUCCAAACAGCUGAUAAAAACAUCACAAUAAUCCACAAGUAAUCCACACCACUCCAGUCAAGCAGUUAACAUCUGGAGAAGACAAAAGCUGUGAGUUUGUAAGAAAUAAAUUAAAGAUUAAGAUGUUUUUAACUUCAUGUUGAGUCCUCUAUCCAGUGGAAAAAGUCUCAUCUGAAUCAGGAGAGAAAUCUGCACAGAUCAAGCACCGUUUGCAAGCCAGAACAGUUCUAAACAAAUAUGUGGCUGGAUUUUGAUGUGAGAGAAAAACAGGAGAUGGACUUUUAUCACUGGAAGAAGCGUUAUUAUGGAAUAUGGACUCAUAUUUUGGCCAGAAGUGACAGUUUAAAGUUAAAAUGCUUUAAUGAUGGAUUUAUUUCUUGCAUACAAACAUCUUUUGGCUUCGCAAGAUGUUAAUUGAUGGACUGGAGUGGUGUGGAUUACUUGAGGAUUAUUGUGAUGUUUUUAUCAGCUGUUUGGACUCUCAUCCUGACGGCACCCAUUCACUGCAGAGCAAGUGAUGCAAUGCUACAUUUCUCCAAAUCUGUUCAUCUACAUUUUCAGCAAAUUUUCAUUUUAGGGUCAGCUAUUCCUUUAAACUAGUUAGUAGACCAGCAAAUACAGGAAGAAACACAUUGGAGGACAAUUGAAAAUGAUCUUAAUAUUAAAGAUCUGCAAUUUAGCUGCAAAUCAUUUUAAUUUAAAAGACUAAUACACUCUCUUAACCUAAAAUAACAUUGUAUGUUAUACUAAAAAGAAUAUGAUUGCCUUAUUUUUCCUAUUAGGACCUUUUCUGCUCUUUGAAAGCUGUUUCUGAAGUUUUAGGACACUUUAAUGAGACGUUCAGGCACAUUUAAGUCCCUGUCUGAGUUUUAAUAUGUCAAAUGAAUGCACUUGUCGUUCAAGCACCUUUGAUGGUGCUGUUUGGUACCGUACUGUUGAAAAGUUCUGUUCGACAACAGUCCGAUCACUCUUUCCAUAGAGGUAUUUUUAGUAUUUACUCCAGGCUGGUGUUGUUUAUGCUGGAAGGUUGUUUGAAUUAGAACACUAUGAAUUCAUUCCAACACAAAUCCACCCCAUUACAAAACAAAUCCAAUAUUCAGAAGAAAAAAAAAGCAUUAGAAUAAUUAUGGUCUUUGCUUUCAGUUAAAGAAUGUGUUUUUGAUCCGUAUACUACUGGAAUUCGUGUUUUCCUAUUUGUAAUCUUACUUUUUAGACAUACGUCUCCAUGUUUCAAGGAAAUUAUUCACAAAACGGAAAUAAACUAAAUAUGUUGCUGUUAAUGUUUUUGGCUCAUAAUUUGUCUUAAGUAGCUGUAAAGGUUUCAAGAUACCAGAAGC